RNAcentral lists this ribosomal RNA (520 nucleotides) under uncultured Glomus. Its description in RNAcentral is "SSU rRNA". It matches the Rfam family "Eukaryotic small subunit ribosomal RNA", at positions 569 to 1091 of the family's 1831-position model. Lineage: Eukaryota; Fungi; Glomeromycota; Glomeromycetes; Glomerales; Glomeraceae. The record is from RNAcentral.
AGCAGCCGCGGUAAUUCCAGCUCCAAUAGCGUAUAUUAAAGUUGCUGCAGUUAAAAAGCUCGUAGUUGAAUUUCGGGGUUAGUAAGUUGGUCGUGCCACUGGUAUGUACUGGCCUUACUGAUUCCUCCUUCUUGUAGAACCGUAAUGCCAUUAAGUUGGUGUUGCGGGGAAACAGGACUGUUACUUUGAAAAAAUUAGAGUGUUUAAAGCAAGCUAACGUUUGAAUACAUUAGCAUGGAAUAAUGAAAUAGGACGUUCGAUCCUAUUUUGUUGGUUUCUAGGAUUGACGUAAUGAUUAAUAGGGAUAGUUGGGGGCAUUAGUAUUCAAUUGUCAGAGGUGAAAUUCUUGGAUUUAUUGAAGACUAACUACUGCGAAAGCAUUUGCCAAGGAUGUUUUCAUUAAUCAAGAACGAAAGUUAGGGGAUCGAAGACGAUCAGAUACCGUCGUAGUCUUAACCAUAAACUAUGCCGACUAGGGAUCGGAUGAUGUUAAUUUUUAAUGACUCAUUCGGCGCCUUAC